Molecule: non-coding RNA, 990 nt
Organism: Cucurbita pepo subsp. pepo (vegetable marrow)
Lineage: Eukaryota; Viridiplantae; Streptophyta; Magnoliopsida; Cucurbitales; Cucurbitaceae
Source: RefSeq, a predicted model, not a curated record
CGGAAGGCCGCAGCGCGGAGAUGUACGGGAAGAAGCGGUUUCUCUUCUAAGCAAUUCAUUGAAAAUUAGCUGCUAAUCGGAGUUACGUUUCCCGGCGAUGUCGAACCUUUUGCUGUUCGAUCGGUUUUCGUCAAUGCUCGGAAUUCCAUGAUUGCUUCGUCGCAUAAGCUGGAUUCCGGCAUUUUCUGGUGCAUCAGACCAUAACAGGUGUGGAUAAUCAAUUUGAUGUCGCCGCUCUUCCUUUCCAUGAAAAAAGAGAGAGAAGAAGCAUUUUGAUAAGUUUCUCGAAUAAGAAACUAAGUCGUCGUCUUGCGAGCAAGAGCUUUGGACUCUGAGAUCUUAUUUUCCUUUAUGCAGUGGAGCGCCAUCCUCAUAGAUCCAUGUAAUCUUUGUAUGAUAUCAGUUGUGAUGGUUAGGUUAGAGUACUUGCAAUGAGCGCUUGAUUGAGGACAGCGAGUUACGGCCAGUGUGGUGGAUUUUGAAAAUGGAGUUUCAAUCGAGUUACUAGAGGAGGAGAACUUGGAUGAACUGGAUCGUGGAAAGCAGGAAUCUGAAUUCCUAUCUAUUUAUAAUGUGAAGCGUAUGAAGCUGCAAGAUGAGAUUAUUGAGGUGGAAGGAAGAUUGAUAGGAGACCAUGAUAGCUCAAGCUUCUCAGAUAGCUUAGAUAAUUUGAUUGGUGAAUCUCAGAAGGAAUUGAAUUCAGUGAAGAAGGCACUUGCAUCUAGAUUGAGGGACGCGUUAGCAUUAAAGAGGCUCUUGAUGACGUGCCAACCCAAACUGAACUCAUCCGGUUUGUUGUUUUCUUAUUAGCCUUCCUGUUUUCCUUCCUAAAAAUGAUAUUUCUUGUCCAUUGCAUGAUUGCUUCGUCAUCAUUUUUUCUUGUUGUCACUUUUUCUCCGUGAUAAUUAUUUGUAACUGCCCAAGCCCACCGCUAGUAAAUAUUGUCGUCUUUUAAAUUUUUUUUUCCAAGUUUCCCUUCAAAAUUUUUAA